Molecule: transfer RNA, 71 nt
Organism: Loxodonta africana (African savanna elephant)
Lineage: Eukaryota; Metazoa; Chordata; Mammalia; Proboscidea; Elephantidae
Rfam family: tRNA
About the family: Transfer RNA (tRNA) molecules are approximately 80 nucleotides in length.
Source: Rfam
GCAGUGGUGGUUCAGUGGUAGAAUUCUCGCCUUCCAUGAGGGAGACCCAGAUUUGAUUCUCGGCCAAUGCA